This 811-nucleotide ribosomal RNA is filed under the name uncultured bacterium. RNAcentral's name for it is "bacterial SSU rRNA". It matches the Rfam family "Bacterial small subunit ribosomal RNA", at positions 615 to 1426 of the family's 1533-position model. The record is from RNAcentral.
CAANGUAUGCUUUGGAAACUGUUAGACUUGAGUGCAGAAGGGGAGAGUGGAAUUCCAUGUGUAGCGGUGAAAUGCGUAGAUAUAUGGAGGAACACCGGUGGCGAAAGCGGCUCUCUGGUCUGUCACUGACGCUGAGGCUCGAAAGCGUGGGUAGCGAACAGGAUUAGAUACCCUGGUAGUCCACGCCGUAAACGCUGAGUGCUAGGUGUUAGGUCCUUUCCGGGACUUAGUGCCGAUGCUAACGCAUUAAGCACUCCGCCUGGGGAGUACGACCGCAAGGUUGAAACUCAAAGGAAUUGACGGGGGCCCGCACAAGCGGUGGAGCAUGUGGUUUAAUUCGAAGCAACGCGAAGAACCUUACCAGGUCUUGACAUCCCGAUGCCCGCUCUAGAGAUAGAGUUUUUCUUCGGAACAUCGGAGACAGGUGGUGCAUGGUUGUCGUCAGCUCGUGUCGUGAGAUGUUGGGUUAAGUCCCGCAACGAGCGCAACCCUUAUUGUUAGUUGCCAUCAUUAAGUUGGGCACUCUAGCGAGACUGCCGGUAAUAAACCGGAGGAAGGUGGGGAUGACGUCAAAUCAUCAUGCCCCUUAUGACCUGGGCUACACACGUGCUACAAUGGUUGGUACAACGAGUCGCAAGCCGGUGACGGCAAGCUAAUCUCUGAAAGCCAAUCUCAGUUCGGAUUGUAGGCUGCAACUCGCCUACAUGAAGUCGGAAUCGCUAGUAAUCGCGGAUCAGCACGCCGCGGUGAAUACGUUCCCGGGCCUUGUACACACCGCCCGUCACACCACGAGAGUUUGUAACACCCAAAG